GGGUGAUCCAGGCUGGGCUUCGACGGGCACGGCUGUCCCUUCUCUCUCCAUCUCCCCAUAGCUGGCCUGUAACAGAAUGGAGCAUCAGUUCUGCUCUCUGAACAACGGCCCAGCCAUACCCACGCUAUCCACGAUGUCGGGCACUGGGACUACUAGCAUAGUACCUCGAGACCGCCUGCCCACCACAUCUGAAGGAAAAUGAGCUGAUUGGGGCACAAUGGAAUAGAUGGAAUGGAAAAUGUCGACAACCUGAUACAUGACUGUCUGCUGUGACCCACGCAACGGAUAAGAGGAAGGGAAGCGAGAAAGACUGUCCACAGGUGUUGGUCCUUCGGCUGAGUGACCAGAACUCCUUUAUUUGGGCCUGGGGGGUCAGGACUGUCUUUUACUAUAACCCGUACAAGACAAGGCUGCUCCCUACUGUCUGGCUUUAUUGGUAUUCACAAGGCGUCUGUGUGUGUACAGACAUGUUCCUACAUACAGUGGGGCAAAAAAGUGUUUAGUCAGCCACCAAUUGCAAGUUC
Molecule: long non-coding RNA, 524 nt
Organism: Oncorhynchus tshawytscha (Chinook salmon)
Lineage: Eukaryota; Metazoa; Chordata; Actinopteri; Salmoniformes; Salmonidae
Source: Ensembl